CUGAAGUCAGGGCUUUUGAAAUGACUAGAUGGUGAUGAGGACCAAUCAGUAGCUGUAAUGUCAAGGUCAACCUAUAUGGCUCAACCAGUCAAGAGAGGAACCUGCAGAAACUUACAAAUCUUUAAAGGUACCUUUGGAUCCAUCAAACUCACGUCGUGCAGUUGGAUUCCUCCUCAUGAGAAUUCUGGAUUUUAUGCUCACUGGCUGUGUGCACUGGCUCACCAUUCACCACCUGCCUGCCCUUCUGCCCACGCUGUCUCGGACUGCAGAGCGCUCUCUGGAUCUGGACUCCCGGCUCACCCAACUUUGCACCGGUCACUCACCUGGCCUUCCGCAGCUACCCUCCCAUGCUGACUACCUCUCGUCUGUAAAAAGCUCCACUUAUCAUGGGCUUCCCCUGUGCACCUGAGAACUCCCUGUGCCUUUUUAUUAGUUGUAAAUACUUCAGUGAUUCUGACGAUAAAAUUUUGUUGGUUUUGGAGUUUGGCUGUCUGUGUCUGGUUCUGCAUUUG
Molecule: long non-coding RNA, 512 nt
Organism: Oreochromis aureus
Lineage: Eukaryota; Metazoa; Chordata; Actinopteri; Cichliformes; Cichlidae
Exons: 3
Source: RefSeq, a predicted model, not a curated record